Molecule: ribosomal RNA, 485 nt
Filed under: uncultured bacterium
Lineage: Bacteria
Description: bacterial SSU rRNA
Rfam family: Bacterial small subunit ribosomal RNA
Source: RNAcentral
ACUCAAAUGAAUAGACGGGGGCCCGCACAAGCAGCGGAGCGUGUGGUUUAAUUCGAUGCUACGCGAAGAACCUUACCCGGGCUUGACAUGCAAGUGGUAGGGGAGCGAAAGCCGACCGACCCUUCGGGGAGCUUGCACAGGUGCUGCAUGGCUGUCGUCAGCUCGUGUCGUGAGAUGUCCGGUUAAGUCCGGUAACGAGCGCAACCCCUGCCGGAUGUUACAGGUACCAUCCGGGACUGCCGGUUUGAAACCGGAGGAAGGUGGGGAUGACGUCAAGUCAGCAUGGCCUUGAUGUCCGGGGCUACACACACGCUACAAUGGCCGGUACAAUGGGUUGCAAAACCGCAAGGUGGAGCCAAUCCCCAAAGCCGGUCUCAGUUCAGAUUGCAGGCUGCAACUCGCCUGCAUGAAGUCGGAGUUGCUAGUAACCGCAGGACAGCUAUACUGCGGUGAAUACGUUCCCGGGCCUUGCACACACCGCCCGU